CCACAUGCGGCCAUUGCCGGCUCACGUAGGUUCGUUCGCGUGGUCUUGUUACGCCUCGCUGGAUCGUGUUCAGUCAUGCCGUCCUUGCGCGGCGUGAUUGUCGGUGAGUCAGGUUAAAUUCUUAAAUAGGUCGCGCCUGCGCCUAAUCGAGUCUAUAAAAGCCUGCACAUUCAGUUUUGCUAGCUACAAUGCAGUGCGGCUGGCGUGAGCUGUCUCCACGAUGCGCUUCGAGCGUGUCGAUUUCGCCGUUCUUUAUGUUGGCGUUAACGACCUUGUGCGACAACAUCAAGGCCUUAAUUGUUCAACGAGACGGCCCCCGUCGUGCUGGUUUUCAAGGUGCUCCCUCGCUGCCUAGAAGAUGCUGAUGCGGAAUAGAAAAUGCAAAAACGUCGCUUGCUCAACCGCAAAUUGACGGCUACGCUGAAGCGCAUACCGUGUCUGCGGAAUUUGAACCCCGAGGUAUGGACCCCCUUUUUCCAGCGGCAUGCCGUUACAUACCGUCAGGAACACGCUUGGCUUAUUUCUGACUCGGUAAAAAAUGUUUCACUUUUUCUCGCUUCUCGCUGCGGAAGAAAUGCGGACCGUUUGUCGUAGUUGUGUCUCCAUUACAGGGUGGCAUUACUGCGGUGAAUAAAGCAAGUGUUGCCGUA
Dermacentor andersoni is the source of this 650-nucleotide long non-coding RNA. RefSeq lists it as uncharacterized. NCBI's taxonomy places the organism in Eukaryota, Metazoa, Arthropoda, Arachnida, Ixodida, Ixodidae. The record is from RefSeq and is a predicted model, not a curated record.